AGAUCGGCAGGACGUGUUGCCAAACAUUGUGCAUGUACGUUUGGCAGUUUCUGAUGUUCGGAAUGAAUUUUCGUCUUUAGUAGUCCUGUUGUCUUUAAUUUACGGCUUAUACACAUAAUGUACCCUCUGAAGGCCACCUAUUCAAAGGAGUGUUCGGAUGCUAUGGAUCAAUAAACACAAUAAAGGAUUAAAGGCUGAUAUCACCAUUGAAAUAAUCAACACAGACGAAAGCACUACCGAAACGGGGUGUCUGUAUAUAUUACACAGGAAAAAAACAAGAAGUGUUGUGAGCGAGCUUAAAUCACCUCCCUUGCCCGCACAGCAUUACAGAUUCACGUAUCGAUUCACCGAAAACUAAGGCGCAGAUCGACGAUGCUGGAGUUUUUGUCGUGCGCCACGCUAAAGCCGGGCAGCGUGGCAAUCGCUGCCGCCGCCGCCAAUCCACCCGG
This is a long non-coding RNA of Anopheles merus, 449 nucleotides long. RefSeq lists it as uncharacterized. Lineage: Eukaryota; Metazoa; Arthropoda; Insecta; Diptera; Culicidae. The transcript has 3 exons. The record is from RefSeq and is a predicted model, not a curated record.